Molecule: RNA transcript, 798 nt
Organism: Hydra vulgaris (swiftwater hydra)
Lineage: Eukaryota; Metazoa; Cnidaria; Hydrozoa; Anthoathecata; Hydridae
Source: RefSeq, a predicted model, not a curated record
GUUCACGUGAUAGCGAUGUUCUUCAUACUCCAUAUCCAGUACUUAGAAUAAACAAUAUCAAAUUUGAUGUUCGAAAACUGCUUGAUGAGCAUCAGACAGGUAAACGUGUCAUUGUUGAAUAUGAGACAACUGGAAUGUUAAUAAAGUACAGAUUUGAAAUGGUUCAUAUCCUUGUUAACAUUAUGGUAAAUAAAGUUGGAAACAUGUAUCCAUCAAGAGCAACAAAAACAAAUCUUGCUAUGUCAAUUAUUAAUGCUUUUCCUAAACUGCACUCUGGUGGACCUCUAGGAUAUGAAAAUUACUAUUACGCUUAUAAGGAAGUUGAAGUAAAUGGCUAAAAAAAGAAAAUAACACCUCAUGGACAUAUCGAGGAGCGGCUGAAAACAAUUAGGAAGUUUGAUGGUGUCCAUGCCCAAGCUACACGAAAACGAAAAUCCGUUUCUCAAACAACUUUUGAUGUUGCAGUUCCUUUUUCAAAUGAAGAACGAAACAUUAUAAGUGAGUUGUCAUUUGAUGACAUUCAGUAUGAUCAAAAACAAUAUAUUCUUGAAAAAACUAGAGUAUCGCGAAGAAACUGGAUUCUGUCAUCAAAACCACCUUUUCAUGAAUUUAUUCGGAAAUUUCCCCCAUUUAAAGAUUUAGGAUUUGAUUUUCAAAGAGAGUUUAAAGCAACAUUUGAAAAUGCUAAAGAUUUGCUUACGCAAUGGGAGGAUAUGGCUCCUCAUGUUAUUACUUGGGCUCGUAGAAAGGAGAAUCCGAUGGCAAAGCAACUACUUUUACAUCUUGACAGCCAGCUAA